AGGGACUGCUGGUCUUUGUCCUGCCUCCCAAUUACCCCAGUGAAGAACCCUCCCCUUGGCCCUUGGAAGCCACACCUGGAGGCUCAUCCCACACACACCCCAACCUAGCUGUCCAGAAAGAGACCUUUGCCCUGGGAAGGAGAGAACAGUAGAGGAGCUUUCCCCAGGGAAGAAAGGCCAACUGGGGACCCCUUGGUUAGGAGCCUGGGGCCAGAGGCAUCAGUGGUCCUCAUGGGACCCUUAGUCCUCCACCUCCCACUCCCCAACACACACCCACACAUACUUCAGCACAGGGUCAGAGCUGAGGGAGGUGUUGACACACAUACCCUGACAUGGGUCUAUUUCGGGGCCUUCAGGCCUCCCACUGUGCACUGAGAGGUCUCCACCUGGGCAGGGAAAGACUUCGUUUAACAUUUUGCAGUCUUGUGUUGGGUGUGGAAUGAGGAUAAAGCAUGUAGAAUCAACCUGUGAUGGAUCCUUGGCCUUAAUCAACUUCUUCAGGGCUCUCCUGAUCCCUGGCCUUUUUUUUAAAGAUAGCUUUAUGGGGAUAUAAUCCAUACACCAUGACAUUUGUCCUUUUAAAGUGUGUAAGUCAGUGGUUUUAAGAAUACCUACAGUUGUGCAAUCAUCACUAUAAUCUAACUUUUUUUUUUUUUCAUACAGGGUCUUGUUCUGUCACCCCGGCCGGAGUGCAGUGGUGUGAUCAUGGCUCACCACAGCCUCAACCUCCUAAGCAAUCCUCCCACCUCAGCCUCCUAACUGGGACUACAGGCAGGUACCACACCCGGCUAAUUUUUUUUUUUUUUUUGGUAGAGAUGGUGGGGUCUCACUAUGUUGCUCAGGCUGGUCUUGAACUCCUUGCCUCAAGUAAUCUGUCUGCCUCGGCCUCCCAAAGUGCUGGGAUUACAGGCAGGACCGCACUCUGCCUAGAAUCUAACUUUAGAACAUUUUUUAUCAUCUCCCAAAGAAACCCUUUGCCAAUAGCAAUCACUCCCCAUUCUCCACUCCCCGGCCGAGGCAACCACAAAUCUGCUUUGUCUGUUUGUGGAUUUGUCUAUUCUGGACAUUUCAUCUAAAUGGAGCCAUGUAAUAUUUGUCUGAGACUGGCUUCUUUCACUGGGCAUAAUAUUUUCCAAGUUUGUCCAUACUGUAGCAUGUAUCAGUACUUCCCACCUUUCUUUUUUUCCUUUCUUUUUUUUUUUGGAGGGGGGAUGGAAUCUCCCUCUGUCACCCAGGCUGGAGUACAGUGGCGCAAUCUUGGCUGCAACUUCCGCCUCUUGGGCUCAAGUGAUUCUCCUUCCUGCCUUCCGAAUUGCUGGGAUUACAGGUUCUUGCCACUACGCCUGGCUAAUUGUUAUAUUUUUAGUAGAGACAGAGUUUUGCCAUGUUGGCCAAGCUGGUCUUGAAUUCCCGACCUCAAGUAAUCGCCCGCCUUGGCCUCCCAAAGUGCUGGGAUUACAGGUGUGAGCCACCACAACUGGCCAGUAAUUCGUACCUUUCUAUGGCUGUAUAAUAUUCUAUGUUGUGUGGAUAUACCACAUUUUGUUUUUCCAUUCAUCAGUGGAUGAACAUUUGCGUGGUUUCCACUUUUUGGCUAUUAUGAAUAAUGCUGCUACGUACAUUUGUGUAUGUUUUGUGUGGCCAUAUGUUUUCAUUUCUCCCGGGUAGAUAUCUAGGAGUGGAAUUGCUGUGACCCCUGGCCUUUGUACUCUGCCUCCUUGGCUAGGGAUCUAGUAUCUUCCUUGACAGGCCCAACUAUCUCAUCCUUCAGGUUUCUUAAAGGAAGCCUCGCUGACUCCCAUGGCUGAGUUGGGUCUUCUGUGCCACCCUACCUCCAAUCUUUGCACAUUUCAUAUGGUGAUAUGAUGGCCUGGGUCCUGAUCUUGGCCCCCACAGGUGAGCAACUUGAGAGAGACUAUCUGCUUUGGUUCACCACUGUCCAUCCCAGUGCCUGGCUCUCCUGCUGCUGGAAAGACAAGAGACAGAUUCUGAGGCCAGAGCAAUCAGGAAAGUCUUCCUGGAGGAAGCGGGGCUGGAGUUGGGUUGAUAGGUUGGUUUGCCCCAGAGCGGGGCAGAGGGCUUUGAUUGGCUUCGGUGGAAGAAAGGUGAAGAGAGCUUGGAGAAAGGAAAGAUGGAUGGGUGACAGGCAGGCAGAGAACAAAGCUCAGAGCCCCGGGGG
Molecule: long non-coding RNA, 2179 nt
Filed under: Homo sapiens (human)
Lineage: Eukaryota; Metazoa; Chordata; Mammalia; Primates; Hominidae
Description: HSALNT0231800
Source: RNAcentral